ACGGGAGGCAGCAGUGGGGAAUAUUGGACAAUGGGGGAAACCCUGAUCCAGCGACGCCGCGUGAGUGAAGAAGUAUUUCGGUAUGUAAAGCUCUAUCAGCAGGGAAGAUAAUGACGGUACCUGACUAAGAAGCUCAGGCUAAAUACGUGCCAGCAGCCGCGGUAAUACGUAUGGAGCAAGCGUUAUCCGGAUUUACUGGGUGUAAAGGGUGUGUAGGCGGCAAGGCAAGUCAGAAGUGAAAUGCCGGGGCUCAACUCCGGAGCUGCUUUUGAAACUGCCAUGCUGGAGUCCAGGAGAGGCAGGCGGAAUUCCUAGUGUAGCGGUGAAAUGCGUAGAUAUUAGGAAGAACACCAGUGGCGAAGGCGGCCUGCUGGACUGGAACUGACGCUGAGGCACGAAAGCGUGGGGAGCAAACAGGAUUAGAUACCCUGGUA
Molecule: ribosomal RNA, 434 nt
Filed under: uncultured bacterium
Lineage: Bacteria
Description: partial 16S ribosomal RNA
Rfam family: Bacterial small subunit ribosomal RNA
Source: RNAcentral